This is a long non-coding RNA of Aedes aegypti (yellow fever mosquito), 1048 nucleotides long. RefSeq lists it as uncharacterized. The transcript has 3 exons. Lineage: Eukaryota; Metazoa; Arthropoda; Insecta; Diptera; Culicidae. The record is from RefSeq and is a predicted model, not a curated record.
UUACGAAGAAUACUAAAUUGAUUAGGAAAUUAAACUAGGUUCUGAUUUAUGUCAGAGAAAUUUUCAGAGCGUUUACGUUCAGUGUACGUUUUUCAUCAACGGUUUUCAAUCACUCGCGAAACUUUAUCUCCGCUCCUGAUCCAAAAUAAAAGUAUUCUACACUGUACAUGAUGUUUGUGGUGCCACGAUGGAUGAUAUUCCGAAGGCCAACAGUUGAAGCUGUCAUCGAUCCCCGGAUCGGAUUCACAGUGCUGGAGUUAGUGCUCCUCGUUUACGCUGGGUUCCUUCAUAGUUGCCGAUCACUAUUGCAUCAGCUGGCAAGGUUUCCCCUGAUUGAUUGGAUUACUGGAGUGUAGUGACGUCCGUCUUACUUCCGACAGAAAAGAUCCGGAUGGUUUGAUCAUCAAGAAGCCCGAUUCAGCAUCCGCAAGCCCAGACUUGUUCGCCGUAAGGGACAUUACUGUGGAUAUGGACAUCGGGAAGACCAUUGCCAACGGGGAAAAAACCGCACAGCAGGUUGCGGCCAACGGAAGGAAGUAAGAGGGUGGUGCUGUAUGAAUUUUAGUGAAGAUUGUUUUUAAUAAUUAUAACAUACUUGUGAAAUAAAUUGGUUUACUAUUUUCGGUUUUUAUUUUAUCCCUUUUAAAAUGCGAUAAAUUUAGUUUUCUUUUAUUUUUCAAAUAUUUUUUUUAUCGGAAACCAGUUAAACUAAUCAGUCAUUAAGCAUUCCUAUACAACACCUUGUAUUUUUGAAAGUUAUACUAGCCCAGUAUAACCGGCAGAUAAACGAAAGCUAGACCCAACCAGUCAAAUAGCGUUUUAGUGUGUCUUUUAAACUAGUUAGUUUAGAUUUUUCUCAGAGUGUACACCAUGGUACAAGUUAUCAAGAAAAUUAUUUCAAAGCUAUCUUGAGUAAAGACAAAUAUCAGUAUAGAACUUAUUUCAAGAUAAUUGUAUCAUGCUACUUAUACCACAAGAAUGUCAGUAGGGCAAUUCAAAGUUCAAAAAAGUUUGAUAAUCCAACGUCCAUUAUCAAAAAAAAAAAAAA